CUAUCCAGAGUCUAUGUGGUCAAAGCGGUGCUCGGUCAAAAGCGGUUUGAGCCACCGAGAUAUUUCUUCUUUUCUUCUUCAUCCAUACUUUUCCCGUGUCUUCUUCUCUGCCAUCCUCUUUUCUACCCCAUUGCCAUCCUCCACGUUUCUUCUCUGCCGCCAUGCUUCCGAUUCGGUUGAUGCCGUCGAGGAGGAGCUCGGGGUUCUCCUUUUCUUCCUGCUAGUGCCGCGGUGGAGGAUGAGGAAUUCAUCCCCGUGGUCGAACCCCUCUCUUAGGUGGAGAAAAGGCGUGUGCGUGGUCGCCGGCGGAGCGGCGGGAUCUGCGCCGCUGCUGACGCGGGCGGUAAGGGAGGUGCAGAAUGGGCACGGUCCUGCUCCUGGGCCACCCGCACUCUCGGCCGUGGCCGCCGCUCGCCGGUGCUGGCCGUUCGACCAGGAGCUCGAUGUGUCGUGUGUGCGUGCUGCAGAUGCAGCAGAUGAUUUCGUCUGCUGCGCUUGGUUAUGGCGGCGACAUGGGAAGAAUCUGAUGCCACUAAUUUGGGCCGAUGACUGUGUGAUGUGGUUUCAGAUGUCGCGUGUCAUGGACGUGGCCUUCUUCUGGUUGGGCUGCCUACAUCCACGACAGAGGAUGAGAGAACAGGGAAGUUGUAGGUCGGAAUCUCUCAUUCAACACACUCAUCUGUGUGUGGGCGUGCGGCGCGGCGGCGUGGUGGCGAUGUGCCGCCAUGGCGACGCUGCUAGGAGGAACGUGGACGGCGCAGGCGGCCAGACGUGCUCCAAAUCGUCAAUCCCCACCCAUGUGUAUUGUGGUCCUGCAGGUCCACAUAAGAAAGGAGAGGCAGGUUCAGAUUAGCACUCCACCAGCUUCUGGGAGUUGACACGCAGGGACAUGGGAGACCAACAGGGAAGGCAACACUGUCCAGCCGUGGCCAUGAUGCACCUCCUUGGAAAAAUUCCAGAUUCGUUUUUUCUUCAGCUGCAUUUGAUUAAUCGAGUGGAUAUUUAAUUUUGGUAAAGGUAUAUAAAGCGACGAGGAGAUAGGAAAGUUGUCAAAGUUGGACCUAGAGAAAGGAGGCUUUUCUGCUUCCAGCAAGGAUGGGCCAUACUGCCAGAGGGUCACCUUCAAAUGCACAUACACGGCGGCACCGUGGAUGUUCCCAAGCGGACAACGAGUGCAACCAACUUAAAAGGUGUGAAUCUCAUUGUGUAGGAUUCAGUUUGAGCAGUGACUCUUUGUACUUUACUGAAAUUUAACUUGACAGAAAUAUAUGUGAUGCCUUUUUCUAUGUAUAAGUCUCUGUCCAGAUUCUCCCAUUUGAUCAAAGGAUUAUCAACCAAGCCUGCCAAAAAAUUAGCCCGAUGAUAAAUAUAGAUACACACAUGUUAUUGAUCGCCACACUGUAGGUCCAGUUAAAUGAUCAUUAUUUGUUCUGGUUCAUGAUACCGAGCCUGCCAAAAAAUUAGCCUGAUGAUAAAUAUAGAUACAGACAUGUUAUUGAUCGUUUCAUGAUUGCUCCAAUUGUCUUCCCAUAAUCCUUUUUUUUUGCGGGUAGUCUUCCUAUGGUCGAUCCUUUUCUUAAGA
Long non-coding RNA from Lolium perenne, 1582 nucleotides. RefSeq lists it as uncharacterized. The record is from RefSeq and is a predicted model, not a curated record. Lineage: Eukaryota; Viridiplantae; Streptophyta; Magnoliopsida; Poales; Poaceae.